UUGCAGCCAGUUAAGCCGAUUGUGCUCUUUUCCCCAUAGGGGCCCAGUGUGCAGUGGCUGCAAAUAGCAGCCUCCUUGGUAGUGUAUGCAACCUGCUGCCUGUACAGGUUGCCCUAAGGGACCUUGGAGACAACU
Molecule: small nucleolar RNA, 135 nt
Organism: Bison bison bison
Lineage: Eukaryota; Metazoa; Chordata; Mammalia; Artiodactyla; Bovidae
Gene: SNORA70
Rfam family: Small nucleolar RNA SNORA70
About the family: snoRNA U70 seems to be exclusive to mammals and is a member of the H/ACA class of snoRNA which contain H (ANANNA) and ACA box motifs. H/ACA box snoRNAs are involved in the conversion of uridines to pseudouridines (5-ribosyluracil) a constituent of structural RNAs (transfer, ribosomal, small nuclear, and small nucleolar).
Source: Ensembl